UCACUAUUAAGGUAGUAUAAUGGUCAGUAUUCCCGCCUGUUACGUGGGCGACCGGGGUUAGAUUCCCCACCUGGGAG
Molecule: non-coding RNA, 77 nt
Organism: Cordylochernes scorpioides
Lineage: Eukaryota; Metazoa; Arthropoda; Arachnida; Pseudoscorpiones; Chernetidae
Source: the annotation of a GenBank genome assembly